RNAcentral lists this ribosomal RNA (498 nucleotides) under uncultured bacterium. RNAcentral's name for it is "partial 16S ribosomal RNA". It matches the Rfam family "Bacterial small subunit ribosomal RNA", at positions 28 to 507 of the family's 1533-position model. The record is from RNAcentral.
GACGAACGCUGGCGGCGUGCCUAAUACAUGCAAGUCGAACGAGAGCAACCGGUGCUUGCACUGGUCAAUCUAGUGGCGAACGGGUGAGUAACACGUGGGUAACCUGCCCAUCAGAGGGGGAUAACAUCCGGAAACGGAUGCUAAAACCGCAUAGGUCUUCGAACCGCAUGGUUUGAAGAGGAAAAGAGGCGCAAGCUUCUGCUGAUGGAUGGACCCGCGGUGCAUUAGCUAGUUGGUGAGGUAACGGCUCACCAAGGCCGUGAUGCAUAGCCGACCUGAGAGGGUGAUCGGCCACAUUGGGACUGAGACACGGCCCAAACUCCUACGGGGGGCAGCAGUAGGGAAUCUUCCGCAAUGGACGCAAGUCUGACGGAGCAACGCCGCGUGAGUGAAGAAGGUUUUCGGAUCGUAAAACUCUGUUGUUAGAGAAGAACAAGUGCUAGAGUAACUGUUAGCGCCUUGACGGUAUCUAACCAGAAAGCCACGGCUAACUACGUG